AACGAACGCUGGCGGCAUGCCUAACACAUGCAAGUCGAACGAGACCUUCGGGUCUAGUGGCGCACGGGUGCGUAACGCGUGGGGACCUGCCCUUAGGUUCGGAAUAACUCCCCGAAAGGGGUGCUAAUACCGGAUAAUGUCUUCGGACCAAAGAUUUAUCGCCUUUGGAUGGGCCCGCGUUGGAUUAGCUAGUUGGUAGGGUAAAAGCCUACCAGGGCGACGAUCCAUAGCCGGUCUGAGAGGAUGAUCAGCCACACUGGGACUGAGACACGGCCCAGACUCCUACGGGAGGCAGCAGUGGGGAAUAUUGGACAAUGGGCGAAAGCCUGAUCCAGCAAUGCCGCGUGAGUGAUGAAGGCCUUAGGGUUGUAAAGCUCUUUUACCCGGGAUGAUAAUGACAGUACCGGGAGAAUAAGCUCCGGCUAACUCCGUG
This 433-nucleotide ribosomal RNA is filed under the name uncultured bacterium. RNAcentral describes it as "partial 16S ribosomal RNA". It matches the Rfam family "Bacterial small subunit ribosomal RNA", at positions 29 to 507 of the family's 1533-position model. The record is from RNAcentral.